Molecule: long non-coding RNA, 532 nt
Filed under: Vulpes vulpes (red fox)
Lineage: Eukaryota; Metazoa; Chordata; Mammalia; Carnivora; Canidae
Description: lncRNA (ENSVVUG00000017740.1)
Source: RNAcentral
UAAAGAGUGACAGUCAGAAAAGAUUAUUUUCUUAUUUUCUUAAAUCGGACGGUAAACAUCAUUUAUCACUCCUUAACAGAACGUGGGAAGUUCUCCACCUGCAUUUAUUUGCUCUAAGAUGGAAACUGCGUGAAGCAAAAAAUAGAAGAGCCAAAUUCAACCACCAGCUACUGUAGAAUACCCACCUCUGGACCUGCCCCCAAACUGCGGCACAAGGGCAUCUUCCNGCUACUGUAGAAUACCCACCUCUGGACCUGCCCCCAAACUGCGGCACAAGGGCAGGUGACUUCUCGGAAGAUGCCAUUCUGUACCACUAGUAUGCAUGAACACUCCUCCCACUGCCUGGGUGUCCUAUGAAUCACUAAUUCCAGUACCCAAGGGCAGCAGGCUGAGGGACUUAUUCAUGCCCAGCAAACAAACACAUCCUCAGUGGACAGCAGAAUGGCUCUUCAUGUCUUCACUGCAUCACAACCCUCGAGUGGACUGGAAGUUAUGUCUUCAUAAUCUCUCAGCAUGUUCCCUCUCUCAGUAG